GACCGUUUAGCUCAGUGGUAGCAGCGCUCGCUUCACACGCGAGAGGUCCACAGUUCGAUCCUGUGAAUGGUCA
This 73-nucleotide transfer RNA is filed under the name archaeon. Its description in RNAcentral is "tRNA-Val". It matches the Rfam family "tRNA". Rfam says of the family: Transfer RNA (tRNA) molecules are approximately 80 nucleotides in length. Their secondary structure includes four short double-helical elements and three loops (D, anti-codon, and T loops). Further hydrogen bonds mediate the characteristic L-shaped molecular structure. tRNAs have two regions of fundamental functional importance: the anti-codon, which is responsible for specific mRNA codon recognition, and the 3' end, to which the tRNAs corresponding amino acid is attached (by aminoacyl-tRNA synthetases). tRNAs cope with the degeneracy of the genetic code in two manners: having more than one tRNA (with a specific anti-codon) for a particular amino acid; and 'wobble' base-pairing, i.e. permitting non-standard base-pairing at the 3rd anti-codon position. The record is from RNAcentral. RNAcentral also lists the same sequence under 1 other name.